RNAcentral lists this ribosomal RNA (252 nucleotides) under uncultured bacterium. RNAcentral describes it as "partial 16S ribosomal RNA". It matches the Rfam family "Bacterial small subunit ribosomal RNA", at positions 524 to 775 of the family's 1533-position model. The record is from RNAcentral.
UACGUAGGGGGCAAGCGUUGUCCGGAUUUAUUGGGCGUAAAGAGCGUGUAGGCGGCUUUACAGGUCCGUUGUGAAAACUCGAGGCUCAACCUCGAGACGCCGGUGGAAACCGUAAAGCUAGAGUCCGGAAGAGGAGAGUGGAAUUCCUGGUGUAGCGGUGAAAUGCGCAGAUAUCAGGAGGAACACCCGUGGCGAAAGCGGCUCUCUGGGACGGUACUGACGCUGAGACGCGAAAGCGUGGGGAGCAACAGG